GGUUGAAAAAUUUAGCAUUAAGAAGUGUACCCAUAUCUGUAGAAUGAAAAAAAAUUAAUGAAACUAUCAAUAAAGGGAGCUACUAUUUUAUUUUUUUGGGGGGGAGGAACUAGAAUGAAAAAUUUUGUCCUGUUUUUUCUAAAGUUGAAAUCUCAUCCUGUGUUUUUAUUUUUCACUCUAUUCUGUCCUGCCUUUUUUUCAUUAGUUCAUCCCGAUUUUUUUUACUAAAAUUGUGGUCCUGCCUUUUUGUUUGUCUAAGUUGUUAAUCCGGGCUUUUUUUUACUCAAAACUCCUCUCCUGCCAUAUAACGUAAGUGUACGGAUUUAUAGCUUGGAAAUAAAUCAUGGAAUCUAAUAUGAACAUGUAAACCAUCUAAUUUAACUUUUCCUUCUUUACAUGAACAGCUGCCAACCCAUGGUAAAUAUAGGCAACAGUAGUCCAGUGACGGACCCAGAAAUUUUU
Molecule: long non-coding RNA, 462 nt
Filed under: Mytilus galloprovincialis (Mediterranean mussel)
Lineage: Eukaryota; Metazoa; Mollusca; Bivalvia; Mytilida; Mytilidae
Source: RNAcentral